Molecule: ribosomal RNA, 772 nt
Filed under: uncultured bacterium
Lineage: Bacteria
Description: bacterial SSU rRNA
Rfam family: Bacterial small subunit ribosomal RNA
Source: RNAcentral
UAACACAUGCAAGUCACGGGGGCCCGCAAGGGUAACCGGCGAACGGGUGCGUAACACGUGAACAAUCUGCCUAGAUGUGGGGGAUAGCCGGCCCAACGGCCGGGUAAUACCGCAUACGCUCAUCGGGUGGCAUCACCUGAUGAGGAAACCUCCGGGGCAUCUAGAGGAGUUCGCGGCCUAUCCGCUAGUUGGUGGGGUAACGGCCUACCAAGGCAAUGACGGGUAGCUGGUCUGAGAGGAUGGCCAGCCACAUUGGGACUGAGAUACGGCCCAGACUCCUACGGGAGGCAGCAGUGGGGAAUAUUGCGCAAUGGCCGAAAGGCUGACGCAGCGACGCCGCGUGGGGGAUGAAGCAUUUCGGUGUGUAAACCCCUGUUGCUCGGGACGAACAACUGGAUUUGUCCAGUCUGACGGUACCGGGUGAGGAAGCACCGGCUAACUCCGUGCCAGCAGCCGCGGUAAUACGGAGGGUGCGAGCGUUGUCCGGAAUCACUGGGCGUAAAGGGCGCGUAGGCGGUCUGCUAAGCGUGUGGUGAAAGCUCGGGGCUCAACCCCGAGUCUGCCAUGCGAACUGGUGGACUUGAGCACUGUAGAGGCAGGUGGAAUUCCGGGUGUAGCGGUGGAAUGCGUAGAGAUCCGGAAGAACACCGGUGGCGAAGGCGGCCUGCUGGGCAGUAGCUGACGCUGAUGCGCGACAGCGUGGGGAGCAAACAGGAUUAGAUACCCUGGUAGUCCACGCCGUAAACGAUGGGGACUAGGUGCUUGGGGGAGC